CUCUUCUGAAGUUCUUUCUUCUGAUUCAUUUUCUGUCAUUGAGUAUCCCUAAGAAGAGAAACUAGACAAAAAUAAAUCAUUUCACCUCAGAAUUUAUCCACAUGAAAAAUAAACGAAUCACUUGCCAGCAGAUGUUAGAAAACUACUUUAAUUGUUAGUACCAGAGUGAAACAGCGCAACCUAAAAAGCAUAUUUGCAAUUAAAUGCUUUAGUCUACCUAAGAACAGCUCAAAUGAGUGUUCAGUAUCUCCUUUUGGUUGAAGUUGGCAAAAAGAAAGCAAAGGCUGGUCAGCACGUUUUCCAACAUAAUCUAAGACUAAGCAGAUGGAUCACAAAGAACUUCAGCAGUCAACACUACAUGCUUCAACGUGGACUAAAGCAAAUUCAAGGUUACGCAUAGCCUGCAACAGUUAUCCCACAAGGAUACAGAAAAGCUGAAAUGCUUUUGGAGAUCCAAGGAGAGGUUUGAGAACUACAACUAUAAAAAGUAUCCACACAUCGCUAACACCUUCAAACAGCAUCUCAACUACAGGAAGGACAACCCCCAGACUUAAGCCCUCAGAGCUGGACCCGAAGCAAAGAGCUCUCAAGUUUCAUGAAGCCUGGAACCUCAAUGCUUCCAGCAGCGUACACAGACACCCUGCAGUACUAGGCUAUUAAUCAAUGCCUAAAGGCAAAACAAAAAGCUGUGUUUAGA
This 697-nucleotide long non-coding RNA is filed under the name Coturnix japonica (Japanese quail). Its description in RNAcentral is "lncRNA (ENSCJPG00005017186.1)". Lineage: Eukaryota; Metazoa; Chordata; Aves; Galliformes; Phasianidae. The record is from RNAcentral.